CUGCAUGUGAAAACGCCUGCUCCUCAUUCCUUUAAAAGCAGUAAUACAUCCAUAACUUGCUACAUUUUGAACAA
Molecule: small nucleolar RNA, 74 nt
Filed under: Dasypus novemcinctus (nine-banded armadillo)
Lineage: Eukaryota; Metazoa; Chordata; Mammalia; Cingulata; Dasypodidae
Description: Small nucleolar RNA U109 (ENSDNOG00000030521.1)
Rfam family: Small nucleolar RNA U109
Source: RNAcentral